RNAcentral lists this long non-coding RNA (231 nucleotides) under Salvia miltiorrhiza (redroot sage). RNAcentral's name for it is "long non-coding RNA (SMIL_LNC001813)". Lineage: Eukaryota; Viridiplantae; Streptophyta; Magnoliopsida; Lamiales; Lamiaceae. The record is from RNAcentral.
GAUAAAAGUUCAACCAAUUUACAAGUGCGAGGUUUCUUGAUCGAAACCUCUUCAUACCUGAGGAAAUUUAAAUCACUGAGUAGUGAGCGUGACACCUUACAAAUCAUGGUUCUUAUGCCACUAUUACUUUGCCACACUUACUUUGAGGCGAAACAAUUAGCUACCUCGAAUUAAAUUGGUGUAUGUAGUAUUGUACAUACUUAGACGAUAAAACACAAGUAAGAUGUUUCC